GGGUUGUGAGGUUAAGCGAACAAGCGUACACGGUGGAUGCCCUGGCAGUCAGAGGCGAUGAAGGACGUGCUAAUCUGCGAAAAGCGCCGGUAAGGUGAUAUGAACCGUUAUAACCGGCGAUGUCCGAAUGGGGAAACCCGGUGCACUUCGGUGCAUCAUCGUUAGCUGAAUACAUAGGCUAACGAGGCGAACCGGGGGAACUGAAACAUCUAAGUACCCCGAGGAAAAGAAAUCAACCGAGAUUCCCCCAGUAGCGGCGAGCGAACGGGGAACAGCCCAGAGCCUGAAUCAGCUUGUGUGUCAGUGGAACGGUCUGGAAAGGCCGGCGAUACAGGGUGACAGCCCCGUACACGAAGGCACACAGGCUGUGAGCUCGAUGAGUAGGGCGGGACACGUGAUAUCCUGUCUGAAGAUGGGGGGACCAUCCUCCAAGGCUAAAUACUCCUGACUGACCGAUAGUGAACCAGUACCGUGAGGGAAAGGCGAAAAGAACCCCGGCGAGGGGAGUGAAACAGAACCUGAAACCGUGUACGUACAAGCAGUGGGAGCCUUCGUAAGAGGGUGACUGCGUACCUUUUGUAUAAUGGGUCAGCGACUUAUAUUCUGUAGCAAGGUUAACCGUAUAGGGGAGCCGAAGGGAAACCGAGUCUUAACCGGGCGUUAAGUUGCAGGGUAUAGACCCGAAACCCGGUGAUCUAGCCAUGGGCAGGUUGAAGGUUGGGUAACACUAACUGGAGGACCGAACCGACUAAUGUUGAAAAAUUAGCGGAUGACCUGUGGCUGGGGGUGAAAGGCCAAUCAAACCGGGAGAUAGCUGGUUCUCCCCGAAAGCUAUUUAGGUAGCGCCUCGUGAACUCAUCUCCGGGGGUAGAGCACUGUUUCGGCUAGGGGGCCAUCCCGGCUUACCAACCCGAUGCAAACUGCGAAUACCGGAGAAUGUUAUCACGGGAGACACACGGCGGGUGCUAACGUCCGUCGUGAAGAGGGAAACAACCCAGACCGCCAGCUAAGGUCCCAAAGUCAUGGUUAAGUGGGAAACGAUGUGGGAAGGCCCAGACAGCCAGGAUGUUGGCUUAGAAGCAGCCAUCAUUUAAAGAAAGCGUAAUAGCUCACUGGUCGAGUCGGCCUGCGCGGAAGAUGUAACGGGGCUAAACCAUGCACCGAAGCUGCGGCAGCGACACUAUGUGUUGUUGGGUAGGGGAGCGUUCUGUAAGCCUGUGAAGGUGUGCUGUGAGGCAUGCUGGAGGUAUCAGAAGUGCGAAUGCUGACAUAAGUAACGAUAAAGCGGGUGAAAAGCCCGCUCGCCGGAAGACCAAGGGUUCCUGUCCAACGUUAAUCGGGGCAGGGUGAGUCGACCCCUAAGGCGAGGCCGAAAGGCGUAGUCGAUGGGAAACAGGUUAAUAUUCCUGUACUUGGUGUUACUGCGAAGGGGGGACGGAGAAGGCUAUGUCGGCCGGGCGACGGUUGUCCCGGUUUAAGCGUGUAGGCUGACUUUCCAGGCAAAUCCGGAAAGUUAAGGCUGAGGCGUGAUGACGAGGCACCACGGUGCUGAAGUGACAAAUGCCCUGCUUCCAGGAAAAGCCUCUAAGCAUCAGGUAACAUCAAAUCGUACCCCAAACCGACACAGGUGGUCAGGUAGAGAAUACCAAGGCGCUUGAGAGAACUCGGGUGAAGGAACUAGGCAAAAUGGUGCCGUAACUUCGGGAGAAGGCACGCUGACAUGUAGGUGAAGCCCCUGCGGGUGGAGCUGAAGUCAGUCGAAGAUACCAGCUGGCUGCAACUGUUUAUUAAAAACACAGCACUGUGCAAACACGAAAGUGGACGUAUACGGUGUGACGCCUGCCCGGUGCCGGAAGGUUAAUUGAUGGGGUUAUCGCAAGAGAAGCUCCUGAUCGAAGCCCCGGUAAACGGCGGCCGUAACUAUAACGGUCCUAAGGUAGCGAAAUUCCUUGUCGGGUAAGUUCCGACCUGCACGAAUGGCGUAAUGAUGGCCAGGCUGUCUCCACCCGAGACUCAGUGAAAUUGAACUCGCUGUGAAGAUGCAGUGUACCCGCGGCAAGACGGAAAGACCCCGUGAACCUUUACUACAGCUUGACACUGAACAUUGAGCCUUGAUGUGUAGGAUAGGUGGGAGGCUUUGAAGCGUGGACGCCAGUCUGCGUGGAGCCGACCUUGAAAUACCACCCUUUAAUGUUUGAUGUUCUAACCUGGCGCCGUAAUCCGGCGUGGGGACAGUGUCUGGUGGGUAGUUUGACUGGGGCGGUCUCCUCCCAAAGUGUAACGGAGGAGCACGAAGGUCAGCUAAUCCUGGUCGGACAUCAGGAGGUUAGUGCAAUGGCAUAAGCUGGCUUGACUGCGAGAGUGACGGCUCGAGCAGGUGCGAAAGCAGGUCAUAGUGAUCCGGUGGUUCUGUAUGGAAGGGCCAUCGCUCAACGGAUAAAAGGUACUCCGGGGAUAACAGGCUGAUACCGCCCAAGAGUUCAUAUCGACGGCGGUGUUUGGCACCUCGAUGUCGGCUCAUCACAUCCUGGGGCUGAAGUAGGUCCCAAGGGUAUGGCUGUUCGCCAUUUAAAGUGGUACGCGAGCUGGGUUUAGAACGUCGUGAGACAGUUCGGUCCCUAUCUGCCGUGGGCGCUGGAGAAUUGAGGGGGGCUGCUCCCAGUACGAGAGGACCGGAGUGGACGCAUCACUGGUGUUCGGGUUGUCAUGCCAAUGGCACUGCCCGGUAGCUAAAUGCGGAAGAGAUAAGUGCUGAAAGCAUCUAAGCACGAAACUUGCCCCGAGAUGAGUUCUCCCUGAGACUAUAAGUCUCCUGAAGGAACGUUGAAGACGACGACGUUGAUAGGCCGGGUGUGUAAGCGCAGCGAUGCGUUGAGCUAACCGGUACUAAUGAACCGUGAGGCUUAACCUUACAACGCCAAAGAAGU
This 2927-nucleotide ribosomal RNA is filed under the name Cronobacter sakazakii. RNAcentral describes it as "bacterial LSU rRNA". It matches the Rfam family "Bacterial large subunit ribosomal RNA". The record is from RNAcentral. Lineage: Bacteria; Pseudomonadati; Pseudomonadota; Gammaproteobacteria; Enterobacterales; Enterobacteriaceae.